GUUAAAAAGCUCGUAGUUGGAUCUCGGCGGUCUGAGGGCGGUUCGCUCGAUGAGUGCUACUGCUCUAUAGGCCGUGGUUUUGCCAGAGGUCUCGGGGUGCUCUUAACCGAGUGUCCUGCGAUGCCGGCAGGUUUACUUUGAAAAAAUUAGAGUGCUCAAAGCAGGCUUUUACGCCUGAAUAUUCGUGCAUGGAAUAAUAGAAUAGGAAGUCGUUUCUGUUUUGUUGGUUUUCGGAAAUCGACUUAAUGAUUAAUAGGGACAGUCGGGGGCAUUUGUAUUCAAACGACAGAGGUGAAAUUCUUGGACCGUUUGAAGACAAACUACUGCGAAAGCAUUUGCCAAGAAUGUUUUCAUUAAUCAAGAACGAAAGUUAGAGGUUCGAAGGCGAUUAGAUACCGCCCUAGUUCUAACCAUAAACGAUGCCAGCUAGCGAUCUGCCGACGUUUUUUUGUAGACUCGGCAGGAAGCUUCCGGGAAACCAAAGCAUUUGGGUUCCAGGGGAAGUAUGGUUGCAAAGCUGAAACUUAAAGGAAUUGACGGAAGGGCACCACCAGGAGUGGAGCCUGUGGCUUAAUUUGACUCAACACGGGAAAUCUCACCAGGCCCGGACACUGGAAGGAUUGACAGAUUGAUAGCUCUUUUCU
This 644-nucleotide ribosomal RNA is filed under the name uncultured marine eukaryote. RNAcentral's name for it is "SSU rRNA". It matches the Rfam family "Eukaryotic small subunit ribosomal RNA", at positions 618 to 1263 of the family's 1831-position model. The record is from RNAcentral.